RNAcentral lists this ribosomal RNA (484 nucleotides) under uncultured bacterium. RNAcentral describes it as "partial 16S ribosomal RNA". It matches the Rfam family "Bacterial small subunit ribosomal RNA", at positions 30 to 507 of the family's 1533-position model. The record is from RNAcentral.
AGUGAACGCUGGCGGCAGGCCUAACACAUGCAAGUCGAGCGGCAGCGGGUCCUUCGGGAUGCCGGCGAGCGGCGGACGGGUGAGGAAUGCAUCGGAAUCUGCCCUGUCGUGGGGGAUAACCUCGGGAAACUUAGGCUAAUACCGCAUACGACCCACGGGUGAAAGCGGGGGAUCGCAAGACCUCGCGCGAUAGGAUGAGCCGAUGUCCGAUUAGCUAGUUGGCGGGGUAAAGGCCCACCAAGGCGACGAUCGGUAGCUGGUCUGAGAGGAUGAUCAGCCACACUGGGACUGAGACACGGCCCAGACUCCUACGGAAGGCAGCAGUGGGGAAUAUUGGACAAUGGGCGCAAGCCUGAUCCAGCCAUGCCGCGUGGGUGAAGAAGGCCUUCGGGUUGUAAAGCCCUUUUGUCCGGGAAGAAAUCGUCUGGGCUAAUACCCCGGGCGGAUGACGGUACCGGAAGAAUAAGCACCGGCUAACUUCGUG